GUGCCAGCAGCCGCGGUAAUACGUAGGGUGCGAGCGUUAAUCGGAAUUACUGGGCGUAAAGCGUGCGCAGGCGGCUUUGCAAGACAGAGGUGAAAUCCCCGGGCUCAACCUGGGAACUGCCUUUGUGACUGCAAGGCUAGAGUACGGCAGAGGGGGAUGGAAUUCCGCGUGUAGCAGUGAAAUGCGUAGAUAUGCGGAGGAACACCGAUGGCGAAGGCAAUCCCCUGGGCCUGUACUGACGCUCAUGCACGAAAGCGUGGGGAGCAAACAGGA
This 273-nucleotide ribosomal RNA is filed under the name uncultured Burkholderiales bacterium. Its description in RNAcentral is "partial 16S ribosomal RNA". It matches the Rfam family "Bacterial small subunit ribosomal RNA", at positions 505 to 777 of the family's 1533-position model. Lineage: Bacteria; Pseudomonadati; Pseudomonadota; Betaproteobacteria; Burkholderiales. The record is from RNAcentral.